AGGACGAACGCUGGCGGCGUGCUUAACACAUGCAAGUCGAACGGUAAGGCCCCUUCGGGGGUACACGAGUGGCGAACGGGUGAGUAACACGUGGGUAAUCUGCCCUGCACUUCGGGAUAAGCCUGGGAAACUGGGUCUAAUACCGGAUAUGAACUCCUGCCGCAUGGUGGGGGUUGGAAAGUUUUUCGGUGCAGGAUGAGCCCGCGGCCUAUCAGCUUGUUGGUGGGGUAAUGGCCUACCAAGGCGACGACGGGUAGCCGGCCUGAGAGGGUGAUCGGCCACACUGGGACUGAGACACGGCCCAGACUCCUACGGGAGGCAGCAGUGGGGAAUAUUGCACAAUGGGCGAAAGCCUGAUGCAGCGACGCCGCGUGGGGGGAUGACGGUCUUCGGAUUGUAAACCCUUUCAGUAGGGACGAAGCGCAAAGUGACGGUACCUGCAGAAGAAGCACCGGCUAACUAACGUGCCAAGCAGCC
Molecule: ribosomal RNA, 477 nt
Filed under: uncultured soil bacterium
Lineage: Bacteria
Description: bacterial SSU rRNA
Rfam family: Bacterial small subunit ribosomal RNA
Source: RNAcentral